Molecule: ribosomal RNA, 406 nt
Filed under: uncultured bacterium
Lineage: Bacteria
Description: partial 16S ribosomal RNA
Rfam family: Bacterial small subunit ribosomal RNA
Source: RNAcentral
AUUGAACGCUGGCGGCAGGCCUAACACAUGCAAGUCGAACGAGUGGCGGACGGGUUAGUAAUGUCUGGGAAACUGCCUGAUGGAGGGGGAUAACUACUGGAAACGGUAGCUAAUACCGCAUACCAUCAGAUGUGCCCAGCUGGGCAUAGCUUGUUGGUGGGGUAACGGCUCACCAAGGCGACGAUCCCUAGCUGGUCUGAGAGGAUGACCAGCCACACGGGAACGGAGACACGGUCAAAACUCCUACGGGAGGAGGCAGUGGGGAAUAUUGCACAAUGGGCGCAAGACUGAUGCAGCCAUGCCGCGUGUAUGAAGAAGGCCUUCGGGUUGUAAAGUACUUUAAGCGGGGAGGCGUUACCCGCAGAAGAAGCAACGGCUAACUCCGUGCCAGCAGCCGCGGUAAUUC